GUCCCAGUUCGGAUUGUAGUCUGCAACCCGACUACAUGAAGCUGGAAUCGCUAGUAAUCGCGGAUCAGAAUGCCGCGGUGAAUACGUUCCCGGGUCUUGUACACACCGCCCGUCACACCAUGGGAGCCGGGAAUGCCCGAAGUCGGUGACCCAACCGUAAGGAGGGAGCCGCCGAAGGCAGGCCUGGUAACUGGGGUGAAGUCGUAACAAGGUAGC
RNAcentral lists this ribosomal RNA (216 nucleotides) under uncultured bacterium. Its description in RNAcentral is "partial 16S ribosomal RNA". It matches the Rfam family "Bacterial small subunit ribosomal RNA", at positions 1285 to 1500 of the family's 1533-position model. The record is from RNAcentral.